AGCAUUUAUUAGAUAAAAAACCAAUAUAUGUUUUUAAAACAUAAAAUUUGGUGAUUUACAAUAACUAAGCAAAUCGCACAGUGCAAACUGGCGAUAAAUCAUUUAAGUUUCUGACCUAUCAGCUUUCGACGGUAAGGUAUUGGCUUACCGUGGCAGUGACGGUUAACGGGGAAUUAGGGUUCAAUUCCGGAGAGGGAGCCUGAGAAAUGGCUACCACAUCUAAGGAAGGCAGCAGGCGCGCAAAUUACCCAAUUCUAACAGUAUAAGAGAGGUAGUGACAAGAAAUAACAGUACAAGGCAGUUAAAAUGCUUUGUAAUUGGAAUGAUAGAAAUUUAAAUACUUUUUAAAGUAUCAAUUGGAGGGCAAGUCUGGUGCCAGCAGCCGCGGUAAUUCCAGCUCCAAUAGCGUAUAUUAAAAUUGUUGCAGUUAAAAAGCUCGUAGUUGAAUUUUUGCUAAAAAUAACCGGUCUGCUUUUAUUUAUAAAAGUGGUAUCUUGGUGUGUUUUUAGCAAUAAUGUCCUUUGAAAUGUUUUUUACUUUAUUGUAAAAAGCAAUUUUUWGGAUUUUUACUUUGAGAAAUUU
This 582-nucleotide ribosomal RNA is filed under the name Hepatozoon sp. RNAcentral's name for it is "partial small subunit ribosomal RNA". Lineage: Eukaryota; Apicomplexa; Hepatozoidae. The record is from RNAcentral.